AGUGAACGCUGGCGGUAGGCCUAACACAUGCAAGUCGAACGGCAGCACAGUAAGAGCUUGCUCUUACGGGUGGCGAGUGGCGGACGGGUGAGGAAUACAUCGGAAUCUACUUUUUCGUGGGGGAUAACGUAGGGAAACUUACGCUAAUACCGCAUACGACCUACGGGUGAAAGCAGGGGAUCUUCGGACCUUGCGCGAGUGAAUGAGCCGAUGUCGGAUUAGCUAGUUGGCGGGGUAAAGGCCCACCAAGGCGACGAUCCGUGGCUGGUCUGAGAGGAUGAUCAGCCACACUGGAACUGAGACACGGUCCAGACUCCUACGGGAGGCAGCAGUGGGGAAUAUUGGACAAUGGGCGCAAGCCUGAUCCAGCCAUACCGCGUGGGUGAAGAAGGCCUUCGGGUUGUAAAGCCCUUUUGUUGGGAAAGAAAAGCAGCAGGUUAAUACCCCGCUGUUCUGACGGUACCCAAAGAAUAAGCACCGGCUAACUUCGUG
This 492-nucleotide ribosomal RNA is filed under the name uncultured bacterium. RNAcentral's name for it is "partial 16S ribosomal RNA". It matches the Rfam family "Bacterial small subunit ribosomal RNA", at positions 29 to 507 of the family's 1533-position model. The record is from RNAcentral.